UACGUAGGGCGCAAGCGUUAUCCGGAAUUAUUGGGCGUAAAGCGUCCGCAGGUGGCUAUUCAAGUCUGCGGUCAAAGACUGGGGCUUAACCCUGGAAAGGCCGUGGAAACUGAAGAGCUAGAGUGCAGUAGGGGUAGAGGGAAUUCCGGUGUAGCGGUGAAAUGCGUAGAUAUCGAGAGGAACACCUGCGGCGAAGGCGGGUUGCUGGGCUGAUACUGACGCUGAGGCGCGAAAGCCAGGGGAGCGAACGGG
This 252-nucleotide ribosomal RNA is filed under the name uncultured bacterium. Its description in RNAcentral is "partial 16S ribosomal RNA". It matches the Rfam family "Bacterial small subunit ribosomal RNA", at positions 524 to 776 of the family's 1533-position model. The record is from RNAcentral.